Molecule: long non-coding RNA, 11887 nt
Filed under: Citrus x clementina
Lineage: Eukaryota; Viridiplantae; Streptophyta; Magnoliopsida; Sapindales; Rutaceae
Description: Citrus clementina (C. clementina) long non-coding RNA (CCLE_LNC006649)
Source: RNAcentral
GUAACAAUAUCUUCCCCCUUUUGCCCCCUGAAAAGAUAGAGAAAGAGUCGGCUGCAAAAAUUAGAAUAACACCAUAAGGUGAAGAGAAGUUACCUUGUAAGUGUGGUAGGUGUGGAUAUAAAGGACAUUAUCAACUAACUUACAGUGCACUAAUUCCACUAUCUAACAAUGAGCAUGUGGUUGGACUGAAUAAAACAGGCAAACAUGUAUGAUAUACUCAACAUUAAAUACUUGUCCUUUUUAUUGUCUUAAUUUCUUUAAUAUCUAUAACUAUUAGUUGACAGGUUGAUACUUUCUUAUUUUGCAGUUGGAUAAGCUGGUUUGUUUGGCUUAUUUUGUUCUCAAAGGGAGGUGACCAAGGGUUUAUAAUAGAUGAGCCGAAUGUUUGGAGUCAAUUAAUAGUAUUUCAAACCAAGACGAAGCAAAAAGUUAUAUCUACUUGGGUAUUUUAUCCUCUGCAUUAAACCCAAACCAAAUUAGCUUUGAUGAUUAAGUAGCAGCAACUUAUGAUCUUUUAAAACUUAUUUAUGAUUCUUGCAUGAAUUGGACUUAUGUUGUUUGUGUUAACAUGAAUAUGUUAAUAAUAUUGAUUUUGAUGAUAACAAACUUUAAAUGGUUUUUAAUUAAAAUGUUAGAGCUAUUCCUUAAUAAACGAAAGCCUUAUAAUCAUUUCAAUUAUAUUCAUAAAAGAUGGAUCACUGUUAAAUUUCAAAUUGGAAAAUGAUUCUCUGCGAAAUCUGGCUUAAACUGUGAUUCUGAAAGAUUGUACCUGGAAACAAACGGCAAAAGUUUAAUUGAAACUGAUAAGGCUAACUUGUUUUGCAGGUUACUGGAAACAAACGGUGAACCAUUAAUUAUAAACAGCUAACCGAUAAAUUCCAGAAAGGUUAUUUCGUAUAAAUCUUUAACCGUGUAGUAUGAACUAAUAACUGAAGUUUAUCUUGCAGGUCUCUAAAAUUUAACGGCUAACGGGUAAGCUUAAACGGCAAACUGUUUAUUUGAAAUUUGACCCAACGGUAACUUUUGACCAGACUAAACGGUUAACUGUUAAUGGCUAACAGCGAACCGUUUUUUAGCAGACAGUCUAUAACGGCUAGUUUUUCAGCUCCAACUAUAAAUAAGUUCAUUCAAAUUCAAACAAGACUUGAUCACAACAUGACCAUUGAGCUUAUAUUCGAGAAUACAAUCUUCAUAGAGCUUUAAAGCACAUUAUUGCUUCAUCUAUUCACACAUUGGGCAUUGAUUUGUAAUCUUAAAUAUUGUGUGAGAGAAAAAUAAUUUUUAAUCUUUUACUUUGAGUGAUUGUAAGUGUUGGGAUACACUUGAGUUAAGAGAUUGAGGAUAAUCUCUUAUUGUAAAGGUUCAUUGACACCUUGGAAGUCAAGUGUAAGCAUUUGAAGCCUUGGAGGCUUCCUUACUGAAAUCCUCAAGCCUGAAAAGCUUGGAGGAGUGGACGUAGGUGAGGUUGGCCGAACCACGUAAAAAUCUUCGUGUUUGAAUCGCUCUUCCCUUAUAUUUUUAUAUUGUAAUUGAUUUAAUUGUUAUUCCAUUAAAUUCAUUUUAGAUUUGCUUGAUAAUUUGUUUUAGAAUCAAAUAAUUUUUAGAAUCCCAAUUCACCCCCCCUCUUGGGUUGCACACUUGUAUUUCAUUUGGUAUCAGAGCUUGGUUCUCUUGUUAGGACUUAACCGUCUAGAGUAAAAGAUCCAUGGCAACCCAAAAUGACUAAACCUUUAGGGAAGGACAGUCCACAACUAGACCACCAUUCUUUGACAGAAAUGACUACCCAUAUUGGAAAACUAGGAUGAGAAUUUAUUUACAAGCACUAGAUUAUGAAAUUUGGGAAGUUGUAUGUGAUGAUUUUUUUUUGCCCCUAACUAAAAAUGAAGUCGGGGAAGAUAUUCCAAAACCUUCAAGGGAAUGGAAUGAAUUGGAAAAGAAAAAAGCUUAUCUAAAUUCCAAAGCUAUGAAUACUUUAUUUUGUGCACUUGAUAAGAAAAAAUUUCAUCGAGUAUCUAGUUGUGAAAGUGCCAAUGAAAUUUGGCACAAACUUGAAGUAUUCUAUGAAGGCACAAAUCAAGUGAAAGAGUAAAAAAUUAGUAGGUACACUCGACAAUAUGAGUUGUUCCAAAUGGAACAAAAUGAGAGUGUGUACUCUAUGUAUACUAGAUUUACGGACAUAGUAAACAUCCUAGGAGCCCUAGGAAAGACCUUGUCAAAUAGCCAGAAAGUUAAGAAAAUUAUUAGGUCACUUCCAAAAGAAUGGAGACCUAAAAGAACCGCUAUUGAAGAGGCUAACGAUUUAAAUACAUUACCACUUGAUGAUUUAAUUGGUUCUCUCAUUUCAUAUGAAGAAGAUUUGGCAGCAGAAAAAUGGCAUGAGGAGAAGAAGAAAAGCAUUGCUCUCAAAGCUUCAAAAUAUGAGAGUGAUGGGGAGAGUGAACUGGAUGAUGAAGAGCUGGCCAUGCUAGCAAGGAGGCUCAGAAAAUUCUUCAAGAAAACUGGAGAGCGAAGAAAUUUCAGAAACUUUAAAAACCAAAGGGAGAAGAAAGAGGUAAUCACAUGCUAUGAAUGCAAGAAGCAUGACCAUAUAAGAUCGGAGUGGCCACUUAUCAACAAACUCAAGAAGAAAGCCAUGGUUGCAACUUGGGAUGAUAGCGAGGAAGAUUCAAGUGAUGAAGAAGGGUCGCAAGAAGUAUCAAACCUGGCGCUUAUGGCAAUAGGAGGGGAUGAUGAUAUCAAUGAGGUAAGUGAUUCCACGUAUGAUGCUUUUAAAGAAUUGCAUGAUGAGUUGAUGAAGAUUGGUAAAAAGAAUAUAUGUCUUAAAAAAGAAAUGGCAAAGCUUAAAAAUGAAAAUGGAUCUCUAAAUGCAAGAAUUACAUGCCUAGAAGUAGAGAACAAAACAUUGCAUGAUGAAAUUUCAUUAUCAAAUGAGAAACCUAGCAUUUCACAUGAGCAUUUAGAAUCACAUAUAGAUGAUUUGAAAAAUGAAAACGAAAUGCUUAAGAAAAAGAGCAAUGAGUUGAAUGAGAUUGUUUUGAAAUUUACAAAUGGGUAAAAAAUGUUGGAUAACAUGCUUAAUUCACAAAAAUGUGUGUUUGACAAAGGAGGUAUUGGUUAUAAGCCAAACUUGAAACAAAAAUAUUAUAAAAACUACUUUGUGAAGAGUACAUCUAGUCACAAUCAAAUUGUAUGUCAUUUUUGUAAUCAAGAUGGUCAUAUGAAAAAUAGAUGUCCAGUAAAAAGAAAUGCAUAUUAUGGUAUGAAAUGCAUUUAGGUUCCAAAAGGAAUCACUACUAACUCUCAAGGACCCAAAAAGCUUUGGGUACCUAAAACUUGAGAUUUUCUUUGAAGGGCUUGAAGAAGAAGAAAAAUAAAUGGUACUUGGACAGUGGUUGUUCAAGGCACAUGAUCGGAAACUACGCAUGGUUCUCAAGCUUCACCAAAAUUGAAAAUGGUGGAGACGUAUCUUUUGGAGACAACUCAAAAGGAAAAAUUCUUGGAAUUGAAAAUGUUGGUAAAGUUUCCUCAACUCUAAUUGAGAAUGUAUGUUUGGUUGAGAACUUGAAACACAACUUAAUUAGUAUUAGUCAAUUAUGUGACAAAGGUUAUAAAAUUAUCUUUGAUAAAUUUGGUUGUGUUAUUGAGAAUUCAUGUGAUGGCAAGAUCUUAUUUGUUGGGAAUAGAUGUGGUAAUGUUUAUAUCAUUGACAUAGAAUGUGCAUCUACUCUUGAUAAAUGUUUUUCGGCAUUGCAUGAUGAUAAUUGGUUAUGGCAUAGAAGGUUAGAACAUGCAAGUAUGAAUUUGAUUUCGAAAAUUUCAAAAGAUGAUUUAGUUAAAGGUCUUCCAAAAAUUGGUUUUAAAAAAGAUAAGAUUUGUGAAGCUUAUCAAUUUGGAAAACAAAUCAAAACAUUGUUCAAAAAUAAAAAUCAUAUUUCUACUUCAAAACCACUUCAACUUCUUCACAUAAAUUUAUUUGGGCCCUCUAGAUAUGCUAGUCUAAAUGGCAAAUAUUAUGCAUUUGUGAUAGUGGAUGAUUAUUCUAGAUAUCUAUGGGUAUUAUUCUUAGCUAAUAAGGAUGAUGUUAUUGAUGCCUUUAAAGUGCUUUGUAAGAAAAUUCAAAAUGAAAAAGAGUAUGGUAUUGCAUGCAUUAGGAGUGAUCAUGGAGGAGAGUUUGAAAAUCAUGCAUUUGAGAGUUUUUGUAAUGAUUUUGGUAUUGAGCAUCAAUUUUCAUCACCUAGAACUCCACAACAAAAUGGAGUUGUUGAGAGAAAGAAUACAUCCAUUCAAGAAAUGGCUAGGAUUAUGUUGAAUGAAAAUUCAUUGCCUAAGUAUUUUUGGGCCGAGGCCGUCAACACCGCUUGUUAUAUUUUAAAUCGUGUGUUGAUUAGACCUAACCUUAACAAAAUUCCUUAUGAGCUUUGGAAAAAUAGAAAACCCAAUAUUGGUUAUUUCAAAUUUUUUGGAUGCAAAUGUUUUAUUUUAAACACAAAAGAUAAUCUUGGUAAAUUUGAUUCAAAAUCCGAUGUGGGUAUUUUUCUUGGAUAUUCAAACUCAAGCAAAGCUUAUAGAGUUUAUAACAAAAGAACUCUAGUUGUAGAAGAAUCGAUGCAUGUUACUUUUAAUGAAUCUAAUCCCUCCUCUACGGAGAAAGUUGUUGUUGAUAAUGAUGUAGAUGAAGACUUACAAAAAGAAUCAUCAAAAGAUAAUAAAAAAGAUGCGUCUCGUGGGAAUCAAGAUGAGCAACAUGAAGAAAUGAAUGUAGAGCAAAAUGAAGGUACUUCUCAAUCAUUCCCCAAAGAGUGGAGGUAUGUUUCUUCUCAUCCUAAGGAUGUAAUUUUAGGAGAUCCCUUACGAGGUGUUACAACUAGAUCAUCACUUAGGAAUAUUUGUGAGCAUAAUGCAUUUAUUUCUCAAAUUGAACCCAAAUCCUUUGUGGAUGCGGAAAAUGAUGAAUCUUGGAUUAUGGCAAUGAAAGAGGAGUUAAAUCAAUUUGAAAGAAACAAUGUGUGGGAAUUAGUUCCUAAACCGGAAUAUCAAUCCGUCAUAGGUACUAAAUGGGUAUUUAGAAAUAAGAUGGAUGAAUCCAGUGUGGUUGUAAGGAAUAAAGCUAGAUUAGUGGCUCAAUGUUACAACCAAGAAGAAGGAAUUGAUUUUGAUGAAACUUUUGCACCCGUAGCUAGACUAGAAUUAAUUAGAAUGUUGCUGGCAUUUGCAUGCCAUAAAGAUUUCAUUUUAUUUCAAAUGGAUGUGAAAAGUGCUUUCUUAAAUGGUUAUAUUAUGGAAGAAGUGUAUGUAAAACAACCUCCUGGUUUUGAAAAUGAAAAAUUUCCAAAUCAUGUUUAGAAGUUGUUUAAAGCUUUGUAUGGAUUAAAACAAGUACCUAGAGCAUGGUAUGAUAGGCUUAAGAAUUUCUUAUUAGAAAAUGAUUUUGCCAUGGGUAAAGCGGAUACUACUCUUUUUGUUAAGCAUAAGAACAAAGACAUACUUGUUGUUCAAAUCUAUGUUGAUGAUAUUAUUUUUUGUUCUACUAAUGAAUUGUUGUGUAAAGAAUUUUCAUCUUGUAUGAGUAAUGAAUUUGAAAUGAGUAUGAUGGGAGAGUUGAAGUACUUCAUUGGGCUGCAAAUAAAACCAAAUGAGGAAGGAAUUUUUAUAAAUCAAGUAAAGUAUGUGAAAGAUCUACUCAAGAGGUUCGGCAUUGAUGAAUCAAAGACCAAAAACACUCUAAUGAGCACAACAACCAAACUUGACAAAGAUGAAAAAGGCAAAGAAGUGGAUAUCAAAAUGUAUCGAGGUAUGAUCGGAUCUUUACUUUAUUUAACUGCAAGUAGACCCGAUAUCAUGUUUAGUGUAUGUUUGUUCGUAAGAUUUCAAUCAUUUCCCAAGGAAUCUCAUUUGCUUGCUACUAAAAGAAUUUUCCGUUAUUUGAGUGGAACCAUAGAUAUUGGCCUUUAGUAUCCUAGGGGAACUCAUAUAGAUUUAACAUGCUAUUUGGAUGCGGACUUUGCCGGUUAUAAAGUUGAUAGGAAAAGCACAGUGGAACUUGCCAUAUCCUAGGUCACUCACUUGUUUCAUGGUUUAGCAAGAAACAAAAUUCUGGUGCACUCUCAACUACCGAGGCUGAAUAUAUAGCUGCAGGAAGUUGUUGUGCACAAGCUCUUUAGAUGAAACAAACACUUAGAGACUAUGGUAUUAACCUAGGACAAAUUCCUAUUAAGUGUGAUAAUACUAGUGCUAUAAAUCUUUCAAAGAAUCUCAUUCAACACUCUCAAACGAAGCAUAUAGAAAUAAGACGUCAUUUCUUGAGAGAUCAUGUUCAAAAGGGGGAUAUUACAUUAGAGUUUAUUUCUACAGAAAAAUAACUCGCCGAUAUUUUUACCAAACCUCUUGGCGAAGAACAAUUUUUAAAAAUUCGGCAUAAACUUGGGAUGAUGAAAUUUUCACAUUAACGUCUCUAUUCAUGUUAUUGAGUGUAUUGAAUUAAUUGACUUAUUGGUGAUUUGAUGAUUUAAUAUUUAUGAAAUGCUUAAGCUUGAUAUUCAAGUGAUGUGUUUGCUUUGUUAAUUCUUGAAUGAUUAUAUGAAUUAAUUGCUUGAAUAUAUGUUCAUGAAUCAUGCAUUAAAAUGGCUAAUAAAACAUUUUUAGAUCAAUUAAAUGAUCUUGGAAUGUAUUAUUUGUUGGCCGAAAAUUAAAUCAAAUGUGCGAAAUUAUAUAUAAAAUAAACGGAUAACCGUUUCCAAUAAACGGUGAACCGUUUUAUUCCAGAAACUAGAUUAUGAUGUUUGUCUUUUUACCCUUUCACCGUUUGAUGUAAUCGGUAAACUGUUUAAAAACAGAGAGCUCACUAGAAGUUACUCCUUAGCCGUUAAGUGAUUAACCUUUCACCGUUUCCCAUUCCUUAGCCUCUGGAAGUUACCCCUUAACCGUUUAAAUAAACGGGUAACCGUUUUCGUGCAUAUAAAACUGUUCAAAGGUUUUUCUUCUCAUUCUUCAGUUGCCCUCUCACCGUUUCAGCCAUUGUUGCACAGCCGAAGCAUUCUCUGCCCUCAAACCUUCAUUGUUCUUGCUUUUCUUGCCAAAUCAAACCUAUAACAUCAUUUCUUAUCACUUUUAGAACACUUUCACCGAUUUAAAUCUUCAAAUCAAGCCUAAAAUCGAAAAAUCUCAAAUCCAAACCCUUAGUGCAGUCGUUCGGGUUUCUUCAUUUUUCACCUGAUUCUUGUCCUUCUUCAACCAAAUUGAGCCUCAAAAUCACAUUCUUUACUCAUUCCUAAACAAAUAAUUGGUUCAUCUUCUUCUCCUCACAUCUCUCUUAAAUUUUUCAAACUUCCUCAUUCUUCACCAUGGCUGAGCCCCCACGGAGAAAUCUCAGGAGGAAGUCUGCACCUCAAAGGAAUCCUAUACCACCACGGAGAGUCUUUGAAUUCGAAAGAAUUCAUUUCCCCAUGCCUUCCUUGGAGAAGCGUUUCGAGGACCGCUUUAAUGGUAGAAAGGUACUUGACUAUUUCUAUGUUGAAUUAGAUGUUUUCAGUACCUUAGUUGUAUGUGGUAGAAGCAUUAGGGAUAUGCUUCAACCUUGGGAGUCUGCCAUUGACUUUGAUGACCGAGUUUAUCCCAAUUUAGUGCGAGUCUUUUAUUCGAACAUGGAAAUCUCCGCAACUUGCCUAGAUAGGAUAAUUACUCAAGUCGGCGGGGUGCCUAUAGAAUUUGAUGAUGAGGACCUCAAUGGCUUUCUAGGUAUUUCUAGUGAGGGACAUGAAAUUUAUACCUCUAGGAAAGCCCUUUCCUUUGACGACUUUUGUCAUGUUGAUGGAGUCCGAAAUAUUUGUCGUUGUCGAGACUUGACUAAUGAGAUCUCUAAUCUACCUUUUCGGUCUCAGCUCUUACCUCUCCAAGUCCGCAUACUUCAUACUAUUUUACAGUAUAUAGUGACACCUAGGAAGGGUCACUCGAAUGAGGAUACGAGGUUAGACGUUGGUCUAUUAGAUAGUCUCAUUUCAGGACGUCCCAUUAACCUCGGCUAUGUUAUUGUGAGGCACAUGUUGAGUACUCCCGCGGUUAACCAUUGCUUGCUUCCAUAUGGCAGUAUCAUUACUAAGAUAAUGCGUUGCUUUGAGGUGCCUCUUCUCGAUGCCGGUUAUAUGGAGACUAAACAGAUUGGUCCAGAGGCCAUGACUAGUAUCAUUUUUUCUAGAAAGAAUGGUCAGUGGAUUAAGACUAAAAACUCUAAAAACCGGGAUACAUUGAUUGCUCCAGAGGAUGAUCGGAUGCUCAAUGCUGUUUAUCCUCCCUAUUAGCUUCCAGAUUUUCGAUUAGGAGCUCAUCCACCUCCUCCGCGUUGCCGUUCUGUCCCCCAGUCUCCAGUUGACUCUGACUCUGAGGAGCAUGAGAUGGAUGCUGAUAUUCCAUUCACUUCGAUGCCACCUUCAGCUCCAGCACAGCCUUCCGCUCCCGAGCCAUCUGCUGUUCCGAGCAGCCCUCCAUUUCUAAGCCACCUCCAGCUCCAGUGCAGCCUCCUGCUUCGGUUCAGCCCCCUGCUUCGGAUGUUUUGCAGCAGUUGGUUGCUGAUGUUUGCAGGAUUUCGGAGCAGCAGCAGCUGAUUAUCGAUCGGUUGGACACUUUCUCCCGUGACCACCAGCAGCUAUGUUCUGACUUUCAGACCUUCCAGCAACAGAGCAUUGAUCAGCAGCUUGAGCUUAUCACUGGACAGCCCACUCUUUUUCGCUUUUUCCGUUAUGAUCCGGGGAGCACAUCUUCUCCACCUCCAUAGUUUCUGAGUUUCAUUUUCGCACAUACAUUUCAUAUUUUGUUCAUUUGUGUGUUGCUAUUUAUAUUUUUGCAUACCUUCUUACCUCUAUACGAUUUUGAUAGAUUUUGAUGAAAUGUUUUUGUGACUUGGUAUUGGCUGAUUUGAUAUUGGUUGGAGUUGUUGGUUUGUUGGAUGAUGGAGUUGUUGUUAAUACAUUUUGGAAGUGUUUUUAAUCUCAUUUUGUAUUAGUGGAUUUGUUCCAUUUUAAAGGGAAACUCUGCCAAAUUUUUCGCUCGCCAAAACUGGGUAACUUCUUUCUCACCUCUAUGCUUUCGGAUUUUUUUUCUCUCUCUUUUCUUUUUGAUGAUAAAGGAGGAGAUAAUUAUGGGGAGAUUUGAAAUGAAUUUUUUUAAAAAAAUGUUUCCUUGAGCAAAAAUCAGUUUAUUGGACAUUUUUUUAAUUUGGCCAUACAUUAGGGGGAGCAUAUCUUAAGGGGGAGUAAAAUAUUGAAUGAAGUUUGUCAUCAUAAAAAAUGGGGAGAUUGUUAACAUGAAUAUGUUAAUAAUAUUGAUUUUGAUGAUAAUAAACUUUAAAUGGUUUUGAUUAAAAUGUUGGAGCUAUUCCUUAAUAAACAAAAGCCUUAUAAUCAUUCCAAUUAUAUUCAUAAAAGAUGGAUCACUGUUAAAUUUCAAAUUGGAAAAUGAUUCUCUGCGAAAUCUGGCUUAAACUGUGAUUCUGGAAAUAAACGGUGAACCGUUUUCUUUUUAAACGGUGAACCGUUUUCCUUUUAAACGGUUAACCGAUUAAAACCAGAGAGUAUCAAACUGCUUAAGCUUUAGCCGGUUAAGAAAAACAGAAAAUACAAAAAGCUGGGAAGGCCACUGGAAUUAAACCGUGAAUCGUUUAUUGAAACGGUUAACCGAUAAAAUCCAGAAUGAAAGAUUGUACCUGGAAACAAACGGCAAAAGUUUAAUUGAAACAGAUAAGGCUAACUUGUUUUGCAGGUUACUGGAAACAAACGGCGAACCGUUAAUUAUAAACGGCUAACCGAUAAAUUCCAGAAAGGUUAUUUCGUAUAAAUCUUUAACCGUGUAGUAUGAACUAAUAACUGAAGUUUAUCUUGCAGGUCUCUGGAAUUUAACGGCUAAUGGGUAAGGUUAAACGGCAAAUCGUUUAUUUGAAAUUUGGCCCAAUGAUAACUUUUGACCAGACUAAACGGUUAACCGUUAAUGGCUAACGGCGAACUGUUUUCGAGCAGACAGUCUAUAACGGCUAGUUUUUCAACUCCAACUAUAAAUAAGCUCAUUCAAAUUAAAACAAGACUUGAUCACAACACGACCAUUGAGCUUAUAUUCGAGAAUACAAUCUUCAUAGAGCUUUAAAACACAUUAUUGCUUCAUCUAUUCACACAUUGGGCAUUGAUUUGUAAUCUUAAAUAUUGUGUGAGAGAAAAAUAAUUUUUAAUUUUUUACUUUGAGUGAUUGUAAGUGUUGGGAUACACUUGGGUUAAGAGAUUGGGGAUAAUCUCUUGUUGUAAAGGUUCAUUGACACCUUGGAAGUCAAGUGUAAGCAUUUGAAGCCUUGGAGGCUUGCUUAGUGAAAUCCUCAAGCUUGGAAAGCUUGGAGGAGUGGACGUAGGCGAGGUUGGCCAAACCACGCACAAAUCUUCGUGUUUGAAUCUCUCUUCCCUUAUAUUUUUAUAUUGUAAUUGAUUUAAUUGUUAUUCCAUUAAAUUCAUUUUAGAUUUGCUUGAUAAUUUGUUUUAGAAUCAAAUAAUUUUUAGAAUCUCAAUUCACCCCCCCUCUUGGGUUGCACACUUGUAUUUCAAUUUGAUGUUAAAAAAAAAAUUUGUUUGAUGUAUUGAAGUUUAAUAUGUUAAAUCUUAUGUCAAUUAUACUAUCAUUCUAAUGAGUGUUUUAGGUAGUUUUGUUCACCGUCCACUUACUCGACUAUAGUCAUGUACUUGUAAACUUAUCCGACAACAACAAUUUUUAUAUAAAGUUACACGACUGCUGAAUGUUAUUUUUAGGGGUGAGCAUUAUACGGUUCCAGAAUCGAACAAGACUGAACAGUUUAGAAGAAAUAAAAUCGACCUUGAACUGAACUUCAAAACCGAACCGAACUUCAAAACCAAACCGAACCAAAAUACUUCGGUUCGAUUUGGUUCGAUUUGAUUCGAUUUGUUAGAUUCUAAACAAUUUUUGAAUGUUACAAUAUUUAAAAUGAAAAAAUCAAUUCAAAUUCAAUUUAUUUUCACAAGAACAAUUGAAGCAUAACAACAUAUUAUAACUUUAUUUUUGUUUUUUUUUCUACCUAGCAAUAUUUAUUUACAAUUGUAGAAUUCUAACUAAUGGAAGUAUAAACAAUAAAUUAUGUGACUAGUAAUCCAUUUCAAUAUUUCAUUGUCAAAGAUGACUUUCACCAAACAAAAACAUGAUCUUAAAUAAUAUAACAAAAUAAAAAUAGUAAUUUCACAUACAUUUUAUUAAGAGUAUUUUUCCCAAUCAAACAUUAAAUUAUCAAUUACAAAUAACAAAAAUCAAUCCAACCCAUGCGUGAUCAAACCAAACCAAGCAGAUCAUAAUUUAACAAAAAUCAAAUUAAAUCGGUUUUCAACUCACUUUUUAUUUAUAAAAAUCAAACUUAAUCAAAAAAUAAAUGGAGUGAAAUUGAAUAAAAUUAAAUUAAAUUAAAAUUGACAAUAAUUGCUGACUUGCAACUAAUAGUGAGUGGAAUUGAACCAGUGUUGCUCACCUCCACUGGAGCGACAUCAACAACGGAGAGAGGCUACAACAGCUGGCAAAGAUGAGUGAUGGGUGCUGACGAAGAUGAGUAAUGGGUGCUGAGCAGCGAUUCUAACCAAAGAGAGUAGAAUCGUGAGUGAUAAGAGUGAGACGAGCAACAAAGAUAACGACAAACGAGCAGCAGUUCGAACCAUAGAGAGUGAGACCGUGAGUGAAUCCGAGAGUGAGAUCGUGGCUCUGUGAGAGGUUAACAUGUGUGAAGGAUGAGUAUAUGACGACAUCAAACCAUCGGCGUCACCGUGAGAGGCUAUGAGGGAGAGAGGCUGAUAUGCUGCCACUAACCAUGAGACUUGAGCGAGAGAGAGAGAGAGAGAUGUUGAAUUGCUACUGAUUUGGG